This 871-nucleotide ribosomal RNA is filed under the name uncultured bacterium. RNAcentral describes it as "bacterial SSU rRNA". It matches the Rfam family "Bacterial small subunit ribosomal RNA", at positions 100 to 985 of the family's 1533-position model. The record is from RNAcentral.
GAACGGGUGAGUAACACGUGGGUGAUCUGCCCUGCACUUUGGGAUAAGCCUGGGAAACUGGGUCUAAUACCGAAUAGGACCACGCGCUUCAUGGUGUGUGGUGGAAAGCUUUUGCGGUGUGGGAUGGCCCGCGGCCUAUCAGCUUGUUGGUGGGGUAAUGGCCUACCAAGGCGACGACGGGUAGCCGGCCUGAGAGGGUGACCGGCCACACUGGGACUGAGAUACGGCCCAGACUCCUACGGGAGGCAGCAGUGGGGAAUAUUGCACAAUGGGCGCAAGCCUGAUGCAGCGACGCCGCGUGAGGGAUGACGGCCUUCGGGUUGUAAACCUCUUUCAAUAGGGACGAAGCGCAAGUGACGGUACCUAUAGAAGAAGCACCGGCCAACUACGUGCCAGCAGCCGCGGUAAUACGUAGGGUGCGAGCGUUGUCCGGAAUUACUGGGCGUAAAGAGCUCGUAGGUGGUUUGUCGCGUUGUUCGUGAAAACUCACAGCUUAACUGUGGGCGUGCGGGCGAUACGGGCAGACUAGAGUACUGCAGGGGAGACUGGAAUUCCUGGUGUAGCGGUGGAAUGCGCAGAUAUCAGGAGGAACACCGGUGGCGAAGGCGGGUCUCUGGGCAGUAACUGACGCUGAGGAGCGAAAGCGUGGGGAGCGAACAGGAUUAGAUACCCUGAUAGUCCACGCCGUAAACGGUGGGUACUAGGUGUGGGUUCCUUCCUUGGGAUCCGUGCCGUAGCUAACGCAUUAAGUACCCCGCCUGGGGAGUACGGCCGCAAGGCUAANACUCAAAGGAAUUGACGGGGGCCCGCACAAGCGGCGGAGCAUGUGGAUUAAUUCGAUGCAACGCGAAGAACCUUACCUGGGUUUGAC